Loxodonta africana (African savanna elephant) is the source of this 74-nucleotide transfer RNA. It matches the Rfam family "tRNA". From Rfam's summary of the family: Transfer RNA (tRNA) molecules are approximately 80 nucleotides in length. Their secondary structure includes four short double-helical elements and three loops (D, anti-codon, and T loops). Further hydrogen bonds mediate the characteristic L-shaped molecular structure. tRNAs have two regions of fundamental functional importance: the anti-codon, which is responsible for specific mRNA codon recognition, and the 3' end, to which the tRNAs corresponding amino acid is attached (by aminoacyl-tRNA synthetases). tRNAs cope with the degeneracy of the genetic code in two manners: having more than one tRNA (with a specific anti-codon) for a particular amino acid; and 'wobble' base-pairing, i.e. permitting non-standard base-pairing at the 3rd anti-codon position. The record is from Rfam. NCBI's taxonomy places the organism in Eukaryota, Metazoa, Chordata, Mammalia, Proboscidea, Elephantidae.
CCCUGGGUGGUAAAAAUGGCUGACACAUUCAGCUUCUAACUGAAAGGGUGGAGGUUCAAGUCCACCCAGAGGCA